This 433-nucleotide ribosomal RNA is filed under the name uncultured bacterium. Its description in RNAcentral is "partial 16S ribosomal RNA". It matches the Rfam family "Bacterial small subunit ribosomal RNA", at positions 29 to 507 of the family's 1533-position model. The record is from RNAcentral.
AACGAACGCUGGCGGCAUGCCUAACACAUGCAAGUCGAACGAAGCCUUCGGGCUUAGUGGCGCACGGGUGCGUAACGCGUGGGAAUCUGCCCCUUGCUUCGGAAUAACAGUUAGAAAUGACUGCUAAUACCGGAUGAAGUCUUCGGACCAAAGAUUUAUCGGCAAGGGAUGAGCCCGCGUAGGAUUAGGUAGUUGGUGGGGUAAAGGCCUACCAAGCCGACGAUCCUUAGCUGGUCUGAGAGGAUGAUCAGCCACACUGGGACUGAGACACGGCCCAGACUCCUACGGGAGGCAGCAGUGGGGAAUAUUGGACAAUGGACGCAAGUCUGAUCCAGCAAUGCCGCGUGAGUGAUGAAAGCCUUAGGGUUGUAAAGCUCUUUUACCAGGGAUGAUAAUGACAGUACCUGGAGAAUAAGCUCCGGCUAACUCCGUG